GGCCUAGAACAGCUGGAAUCCUUCGCCCCCGGCGCGCAGCCUUCGCCCGCCGGAAUCGCUGCCUUAUCCACCAGCGGGAUGCUUACCUCGCCCGCCCUCUCGGGUCAGGCGGGCCCGGGAGGAUGGGAGGGUGGCUGCUGAGAGGGAGCCGCCACGUCUUCCACCCGACAUAUUGCCUAGAGUUUGCUGUGACUUACAUCUUGAUUCAGAGAUGGAGAAAUCAGGCCCAUCUUCUACCAUCUCUGAGCAGCAGCUGCAGAGGCAAGAGGGAUGGAUUAACACCAAAACAGACUUGGCUGAGCAGAGUCUCAUUUCAUCUGAGAAAUGGCUUCAACUGCAUGGGCUUAAGAGCAACAAAUUGACCUUGAAACAGAUUUUGUCACAGAUCGGAUUCCCACAUUGUGAAGAUUAUGUGGCGUCUCUGGGGAGACCUGUGGCUUCUCGGUAUGCUGAUGGUCUGUUUCCACAGCUCUACAGAGCAGAAGAUGGCAGAGUAUACAAUAUUCCACGCAUUUGCCGAGAGAACAGAGUGUGUAGAAUUUCCUGCAUUCUCCACAAAGGAUGGUGACAAUGUGA
Molecule: small RNA, 576 nt
Filed under: Pan troglodytes (chimpanzee)
Lineage: Eukaryota; Metazoa; Chordata; Mammalia; Primates; Hominidae
Description: processed transcript
Source: RNAcentral